CUUCUGAGAAAGAAAACUAGGAGAGCUUAUAUGGAGGACGAAAUAAAAUCUAGGGGCGUAUAUGCACUUUUACAUAGCUAAGAGGUCCGUAAGUGGUUUUGAACAGUCCUGGGGUCCAAACAGAGUUGACUUCUUCCCAAGGCGACUACUAUUCCCACUUUCCCACCCGCAGUGGUACUCCCACCCUUCAUCGUUACAAAUUUCAACCUUCCCACAUAUAUCACAAAGACAACAAUGGAUGAAGCUCUUUCUCUGAUAAUACGAGGCAGUCUGCAAUUUGAAAUGAGUGCUUCGCUUAGCUAGCUGCUUGACAUCAUAUAAGGCCCAUUCAGAAGAAACAUUACAAUGCAAAUAUCGGAGAACACACCAAGCUAAGGCACUUGAAAGUAAUGGGAGAGAUGCACAUAUGUAUUCCUUGCCACCAUAUGUACCAGCCUCUUUAAGAGCAGCAGCAGGACCUCCAAACUCCACCUGAUCCACAAGAUAACCACCGGCUAUAAAAUAAUGACUACAACACAAUGCAGAAUAAAUAUACCAGCGAUUUUGGCUUUUAAUGGAAGAAGGCGACAGGUAUAGUGAAAAACUUUAAUGCUUUAUCUGCAGAAAUAUAUGUUGCAACUUGAUUUUAUAAUCUGGCAUUGUAGGUGUACCUUUUCUAUCUUUUGAGAGAGGUGCGACUCUCAAUGAGAAUUUUAGCUACUAGUGGAUGCUAUAUAGAUUUGACCUUUUUCAUGUGCUAUUUUUCCUUAAGAGGUGAACUGCUUAAUGUGGAGUUUGCUCAUAAAUAGUCUUGCAACGUGAGGAAAACAGACUUUUUACUACACAUUGGUGAAGUCUGUCAAAGCAAAGUUUCCUUUGUUAGAGUAAUGAUCAUAAAGCUGUACCUUUAAGUCUAAUUUCGGAGUAAAAAGAUGCCUGAUUUGGCUAGUUACGUCGUCACUCAUAUUAACAUUAGCUUCAUCAUUUUUGGCUGUGGUCGAGGUGUAUUCCAACUUCCAACCCUAGCUAACAUGAAAUCAUACUAUUUUCAUUUGAUUAGUGAUGCCAUGCUUUGAUAGGAAGAGAUGAUAAAACAGAGAUAAAUUGGCAACUUUAGGCUCUAGUUUUCUCCUUCACUUAAUUGGAGCAAACUUUUUCCAGUAAAAUGUGAAAGCAAUGAACAUUAGGGAUUACAUGUCUCAAGCCACGAUUCUCUGACGUGGGAAAAGCAAUUCAGUUUCCACAUUGGGUGCAUUCCAAUUGACUAUUAUCUCCUGUAAUCUCUUUUCGUUUUCUAUUUCCAUUAUAACUGGGGCAGGAGGGUUCUAUUUUGGCAGGAAUGUUAUAUUUCCUCUAAUUUUUACUAGUACAUAUUCCUUUAAUUGCUUAGGAUAUGUGUAUUAAUCCUAGCUAAAUGAUCAAAGUAACACGAGUUACAGCAACUACAGUUUUACGUUUUCUUUUUACCAUAGUAAACGACUGAGUUUGUUUGUACACUUUGUAUUCCAAUUUGAUUUCUAUGAUCAGAUAACCACUCAUAAUCUUAUGCUAAAAAGGUAUUCCUAAGAUAUUUGAUCAACGAUAUCGGCUAUGGAAGAGGCAAAAGGUAUGGUGAAUUUCUUUAGUUAUGCAUCAUCUCCGGCCAGCAGUGGAGCUACUUUUGGUAUCACUCUUCGCUGAAUUUUAUGUUUUUUUUUUUUUUUAAUCUCCUUACUAAAUUUCUGUCUCCGCUACUGACAUCCUAGUGGCUAGCAAUAUAUAUAAAAACUUGAACUUAAUGCACACUGAUCUACAAUAUAUGUAGCUUUUCUCUAU
Capsicum annuum is the source of this 1794-nucleotide long non-coding RNA. RefSeq lists it as uncharacterized. The transcript is spliced from 5 exons. NCBI's taxonomy places the organism in Eukaryota, Viridiplantae, Streptophyta, Magnoliopsida, Solanales, Solanaceae. The record is from RefSeq and is a predicted model, not a curated record.